UGCGAGCGUGACGGCGCGAGCAGGUGCGAAAGCAGGUCAUAGUGAUCCGGUGGUUCUGAAUGGAAGGGCCAUCGCUCAACGGAUAAAAGGUACUCCGGGGAUAACAGGCUGAUACCGCCCAAGAGUUCAUAUCGACGGCGGUGUUUGGCACCUCGAUGUCGGCUCAUCACAUCCUGGGGCUGAAGUAGGUCCCAAGGGUAUGGCUGUUCGCCAUUUAAAGUGGUACGCGAGCUGGGUUUAGAACGUCGUGAGACAGUUCGGUCCCUAUCUGCCGUGGGCGCUGGAGAACUGAGGGGGGCUGCUCCUAGUACGAGAGGACCGGAGUGGACGCAUCACUGGUGUUCGGGUUGUCAUGCCAAUGGCACUGCCCGGUAGCUAAAUGCGGAAGAGAUAAGUGCUGAAAGCAUCUAAGCACGAAACUUGCCCCGAGAUGAGUUCUCCCUGACUCCUUGAGAGUCCUGAAGGAACGUUGAAGACGACGACGUUGAUAGGCCGGGUGUGUAAGCGCAGCGAUGCGUUGAGCUAACCGGUACUAAUGAACCGUGAGG
Molecule: ribosomal RNA, 548 nt
Filed under: Escherichia coli
Lineage: Bacteria; Pseudomonadati; Pseudomonadota; Gammaproteobacteria; Enterobacterales; Enterobacteriaceae
Description: partial 23S ribosomal RNA
Rfam family: Bacterial large subunit ribosomal RNA
Source: RNAcentral